This 2007-nucleotide ribosomal RNA is filed under the name metagenome. RNAcentral describes it as "bacterial LSU rRNA". It matches the Rfam family "Bacterial large subunit ribosomal RNA", at positions 1 to 2033 of the family's 2925-position model. The record is from RNAcentral.
GAAAGUAAGCAAGGGCAGACGGUGGAUGCCUUGGCUCUCGGAGGCGAUGAAGGACGUGAUAAGCUGCGAUAAGCUUGGGGUAGGUGCAAAUAACCUUUGAUCCCAAGAUUUCCGAAUGGGGCAACCCGGCUGGUAGAAGGCCAGUCAUUCCGUAAGGAAGGCGAACGUGGGGAACUGAAACAUCUAAGUACCCAUAGGAGAAGAAAACAAAAGUGAUUCCGCAAGUAGUGGCGAGCGAACGCGGAACAGCCCAAACCGAUGAUGUUUAGGCAUUGUCGGGGUAGUAGGACCACGUUGUGGCAAGAGAUUAAGGAAGUAGAACGUUUUGGAACAAACGGCCGUAGACGGUGAAAGCCCAGUAUACGACUCUUUAACGAAGCCUAGUGGAAUCCUGAGUAGCGCGGAGCACGAGAAAUUCUGUGUGAAUCAGCGGGGCCCAUCCCGUAAGGCUAAAUACUCCCGAGAGACCGAUAGCGAACCAGUACUGUGAAGGAAAGGUGAAAAGCACCUCGAACAGAGGAGUGAAAUAGUCCCUGAAACCGUCUGCCUACAAGCGGUCGGAGCAACGUAAGUUGUGACGGCGUGCCUUUUGCAUAAUGAACCUACGAGUUACUUUCUCCGGCAAGGUUAAGGGCUUCAGGCCCGGAGCCGAAGCGAAAGCGAGUCUUAAUAGGGCGUGAUAGUCGGAGUGAGUAGACGCGAAACCAAGUGAUCUACCCUUGGUCAGGAUGAAGGUUGGGUAACACCAACUGGAGGUCCGAAUGGGUAUACGUUGAAAAGUGUUCCAAUGAACUGAGGGUAGGGGUGAAAGGCUAAUCAAACUUGGAGAUAGCUCGUACUCCCCGAAAUGCAUUUAGGUGCAGCCUUUAUUUAGUAUAGCAUGAGGUAGAGCGACUGAUUGGAUGCGAGGGCUUCACCGCCUAUCAAGUCCAGAUAAACUCCGAAUGCGUGCUAUAUAUUGAUAAGGAGUGAGGGCGCGGGUGCUAAGGUCCGCGUCCGAGAGGAGAAGAAUCCAGACCAUCAGCUAAGGUCCCCAAAUAACAGUUAAGUUGAACUAACGAAGUCGGACUGCAGAGACAGCUAGGAUGUUGGCUUGGAAGCAGCCAUUCAUUUAAAGAGUGCGUAACAGCUCACUAGUCGAGGAGUCCGGCGUGGAUAAUACUCGGGCAUAAACUGUUUACCGAAGCUAUGGAUGUAGAAAUACAUGGUAGGGGAGCAUUCCAACGGCGUCGAAGGUGAAGGAUGACCUUUGCUGGAGCUUUUGGAAACGCAAAUGUAGGUAUAAGUAACGAUAAAGGAGGUGAGAAACCUCCUCGCCGAAAGACUAAGGUUUCCUGAUCAACGUUAAUCGGAUCAGGGUAAGUCGGGACCUAAGGUUAAGCCGAACGGCGAUACCGAUGGAAGAAUGGUUUAAUAUUCCCAUACUACUUUAUGGAGCGAUGUGGAGACGGAGAAGUGAAAGUCCUGCCAUCUGACGGAAUAGGUGGUUGAAGAGUGUAGAUGUAGAUUCCUGUAGGCAAAUCCGCAGGGAGAGUCGACCUUGAUAGUAUGCCGCGUGCUUGCACAAGGCAAAAUGGACGUAAUCAGGCUCCCAAGAAAAUCCGCUAAGCAUAUUCAUAAAGUACCCGUACCGUAAACGGACACACGUAGUUGGGUUGAAAAUACUGAGGCGCUCGAGUGAUUCACGGUUAAGGAACUAGGCAAAUUGACCCUGUAACUUCGGGAUAAAGGGUCCCUACUGAGAGGUAGGGCGCAGAGAAUAGGUCCAGGCAACUGUUUAACAAAAACACAUGGCUGUGCGAAAUAGAAAUAUGAAGUAUACAGCCUGACACCUGCCCGGUGCUGGAAGGUUAAGAGGAGAGCUCAUCGCAAGAGAAGGCUUGAAUUGAAGCCCCAGUAAACGGCGGCCGUAACUAUAACGGUCCUAAGGUAGCGAAAUUCCUUGUCGGGUAAGUUCCGACCUGCACGAAUGGUGUAAUGAUCUGGACACUGUCUCAACCGUGAGCU